RNAcentral lists this long non-coding RNA (1812 nucleotides) under Oryzias javanicus (javanese ricefish). RNAcentral's name for it is "lncRNA (ENSOJAG00000019161.1)". The record is from RNAcentral. Lineage: Eukaryota; Metazoa; Chordata; Actinopteri; Beloniformes; Adrianichthyidae.
AGUUGUGAAGUCUUGUUCUGGUUUGAUCCUCCAAGUCUGAGUGUUACGCUGUCUUUCCUGUUUAAACCUGCCUCGACCCCAGCCUGUCUUUGACCACCGAUCUGCCUCAGCCUGUGACUUCUCCUUGCCGUGCCUGACCCUCGCCUGGACCCUUACUACUCUGGUUUUCCUCUGAUGUCCUCUUGCUGGUGCUUGACCCCUGCCUGCCUGACCCUGAGUUAGUUUUGUGGACUUUUAGCUGUGCAUCACGCCUGUUGCACCGUCUGUGCCGAAUAAACUGUUGCACUUGGAUCCAGCUGUCUGCCAACUCCUGACAAUUAUCUGGGUUCCCCCUUUAUUUGUGGGGGUUGGGGACCGGAGACCUCUGCGAAUAAGGGAAUACAGGACACUGACGCUGCCUUCGUCCUCCAUCAGAGCAGAAACAAUCCCUCUCUUGAUGUUGAGGAUGUUCACUGGUUCAUCAGAGUCGGGGUAAAGCUGGACACGGCCGGCAGCCUCCAUGGUGAACUUCAGGGGGCUCCUGCAGGAAAAGAAAUGCACACCCUUGUUACACUUUUUCCAAUAGCCUACAAACUGACAACCCCCCCCACCCCAUCAAAGAAGGAAACAAUUUUGUGGCCCUCACAAGAAAAAAUGUGAGGACCUCUGAGGUAGAUGACCUGCACUGAAAUAAACUCAGAUUUAAAAAAUGUAAAUUAUUAAUUGUAAACCUGGAAAAAAAAAUUUUUUUAUCAAUUAUUAUUAUUAUUGUUACCGUAUUUGCCACCGCUUAUUAUCUACAAAUAAUCACAAUAUAAAAUCACACACAAAAUUGUACAUUUAGAGCGUUUAUUUUUAAUCAUUUGGACUAAAACUCAGUUUUUGUCUACCAUUGAAUUUUCUGCACUGUCAGUGUGAAACACUACCUACUUGCUUAUUUGGUAUCAUUUAAAUCAGCCCAACCGCACCUAUGUGACACUACUUUUAUUUUGUCAUUUUCCCACAUUGUUUUCACACAUUAGUCAUAAAAUCAAGCAAAAUCAGAAAAUUACAUCUAGAAAAAUGGGAUUCAUUUUACUUUGGAAACCCAAAAAAGUUUAAUACUGUUUUUACAACAUAGAAUUAAAGUUUUAGAUGUAGCUGUAAAAAAACAGCAAGAAUAUAAUUUGUCAACAAACUAAUCAAUAUGUUUUAAAUUAAAAUACAAAGAAAAAGUCACAGAUUCCUUUGGGCCACAUAUAUGGACAGUCUCUGUUGCUAGAAGAACAUCAGUGACCUCACAGCUCUAUGAUGUCAUCUUUCUUAUGUGGCUUCAGGUUUCAGGAAGUCCAAAAAAUAAGAAUCUCUCUCCCAAAAUCACUGCUGUCCAUUUGAGAUUUGUGUUUGGGAAAAAAAUAAUAGAAAGUUUGAUGCAGCUGGAUUUCAUGUCUGCUUGGCUGGAAUCUGCUCACAGGUGAAGGCAGGACUUAUGCACACAUUUUAGACAACGCCGGUGCUCGUUGUUGCAAAAAAAUUAAUGUCGGUCCACAUCCCGAAAUCAAAUGUUGAUCAAUUUAUUAGAUUUCCAUUAGACAGCUCCGUGCGUGCACUGCUCUGCAUUACAGCCGUCAGAUCCACGUUCGUCUCAAAAUAUUAGUCAUUAAAUUAAAAUAUCUCUUUUGUACAAAAACUACAAAUAAAUGCCAUAUUAUCUCUUUAAUUUAAUAAAGUUUCAAUCACUGAAUAUAAACAAAAGUUUAUUUUAGACUGAAUUUUAUUUGCUAAUAAAUAUUAUCAAGUUAAUCCUUUUUUAACAAAUUAACUUUCACAGUCCUAAAAUAAACAUUUACAGGA